RNAcentral lists this ribosomal RNA (497 nucleotides) under uncultured bacterium. RNAcentral's name for it is "partial 16S ribosomal RNA". It matches the Rfam family "Bacterial small subunit ribosomal RNA", at positions 28 to 507 of the family's 1533-position model. The record is from RNAcentral.
GAUGAACGCUGGCGGCGUGCCUAAUACAUGCAAGUCGAGCGAACAGACGAGGAGCUUGCUCCUCUGACGUUAGCGGCGGACGGGUGAGUAACACGUGGAUAACCUACCUAUAAGACUGGGAUAACUUCGGGAAACCGGAGCUAAUACCGGAUAAUAUAUUGAACCGCAUGGUUCAAUAGUGAAAGACGGGUUUGCUGUCACUUAUAGAUGGAUCCGCGCCGCAUUAGCUAGUUGGUAAGGUAACGGCUUAACAAGGCAACGAUGCGUAGCCGACCUGAGAGGGUGAUCGGCCACCCUGGAACUGAGACACGGUCCAGACUCCUACGGGAGGCAGCAGUAGGGAAUCUUCCGCAAUGGGCGAAAGCCUGACGGAGCAACGCAGCGUGAGUGAUGAAGGUCUUCGGAUCGUAAAACUCUGUUAUUAGGGAAGAACAAAUGUGUAAGUAACUAUGCACGUCUUGACGGUACCUAAUCAGAAAGCCACGGCUAACUACGUG